Molecule: ribosomal RNA, 753 nt
Filed under: Burkholderia sp.
Lineage: Bacteria; Pseudomonadati; Pseudomonadota; Betaproteobacteria; Burkholderiales; Burkholderiaceae
Description: bacterial SSU rRNA
Rfam family: Bacterial small subunit ribosomal RNA
Source: RNAcentral
CGAAAGCCUGAUCCAGCAAUGCCGCGUGUGUGAAGAAGGCCUUCGGGGUUGUAAAGGCACUUUUGUCCGGAAAGAAAUCCCUAGCUCUAUUACCAGUCGGGGGAUUGAACGGUACCCGAAGAAUAAGCACCGGCUAACUACCGUGCCAGCAGCCGCGGUAAUACGUAGGGUGCGAGCGUUAAUCGGAAUUACUGGGCCGUAAAGCGUGCGCAGGGCGGGUUUGCUAAGACCCGAUGUGAAAUCCCCGGGCUCAACCUGGGAACUGCAUUGGUGACUGGCAGGCUAGAGUAUGGCAGAGGGGGGGUAGAAUUUCCACGUGUAGCAGUGAAAUGCGUAGAGAUGUGGAGGAAUACCGAUGGCGAAGGCAGCCCCCUGGGCCAAUACUGACGCUCAUGCACGAAAGCGUGGGGAGCAAACAGGAUUAGAUACCCUGGUAGUCCACGCCCUAAACGAUGUCAACUAGUUGUUGGGGGAUUCAUUUCCUUAGUAACGUAGCUAACGCGUGAAGUUUGACCGCCUGGGGAGUACGGUCGCAAGAUUAAAACUCAAAGGAAAUUGACGGGGACCCCGCACAAGGCGGUGGAUGAUGUGGAUUUAAUUUCGAUGCAACGCGAAAAACCUUACCUACCCUUUGACAUGGUCGGAAUCCCGCUGAGAGGUGGGAGUGCUCGAAAGAAGAACCGGCGCCACAGGUGCUGCCAUUGGCUGAUCGUCAGCUUCGGUGGUCCGUUGGAAGAAUGUUGUGGGCUUAAG